RNAcentral lists this ribosomal RNA (743 nucleotides) under uncultured beta proteobacterium. RNAcentral describes it as "bacterial SSU rRNA". It matches the Rfam family "Bacterial small subunit ribosomal RNA", at positions 28 to 772 of the family's 1533-position model. The record is from RNAcentral. Lineage: Bacteria; Pseudomonadati; Pseudomonadota; Betaproteobacteria.
AUUGAACGCUGGCGGCAUGCCUUACACAUGCAAGUCGAACGGUAGAGUAGCAAUACUUGAGAGUGGCGAACGGGUGAGUAAUAUAUCGGAACGUGCCCAACUGUGGGGGAUAACGUAGAGAAAUUUACGCUAAUACCGCAUACGAUCUAAGGAUGAAAGCGGGGGAUCGCAAGACCUCGCGCAGUUGGAGCGGCUGAUAUCAGAUUAGCUUGUUGGUGAGGUAAAAGCUCACCAAGGCGACGAUCUGUAGCUGGUUUGAGAGAACGACCAGCCACACUGGGACUGAGACACGGCCCAGACUCCUACGGGAGGCAGCAGUGGGGAAUUUUGGACAAUGGGCGAAAGCCUGAUCCAGCAAUGCCGCGUGCAGGAAGAAGGCCUUCGGGUUGUAAACUGCUUUUGUACGGAACGAAACGGUCCGCUUUAAUACAGUGGGCUAAUGACGGUACCGUAAGAAUAAGCACCGGCUAACUACGUGCCAGCAGCCGCGGUAAUACGUAGGGUGCGAGCGUUAAUCGGAAUUACUGGGCGUAAAGCGUGCGCAGGCGGUUAUAUAAGACAGUUGUGAAAUCCCCGGGCUCAACCUGGGAAUUGCAUCUGUGACUGUAUAGCUAGAGUACGGUAGAGGGGGAUGGAAUUCCGCGUGUAGCAGUGAAAUGCGUAGAUAUGCGGAGGAACACCGAUGGCGAAGGCAAUCCCCUGGACCUGUACUGACGCUCAUGCACGAAAGCGUGGGGAGCAAA